GAUUAUGGCUCAGAUUGAACGCUGGCGGCGUGCUUAACACAUGCAAGUCGCGCGUGAAAGGACUUCGGUCCGAGUAAAGCGGCGCACGGGUGAGUAACGCGUGGAUGAUCUACCCAUGAGUUAGGAAUAACGGCUGGAAACGGUCGCUAAUACCAAAUACGCUCCGAUUUCAACUUCGGGGGAAAGGUGGCCUCUGCUUGCAAGCUACUGCUCAUGGAUGAGUCCGCGUCCCAUUAGCUAGUUGGUGGGGUAACGGCCCACCAAGGCGACGAUGGGUAGCCGGUCUGAGAGGAUGACCGGCCACACUGGGACUGGAACACGGCCCAGACUCCUACGGGAGGCAGCAGUGGGGAAUAUUGCGCAAUGGGCGAAAGCCUGACGCAGCGACGCCGCGUGAGGGGAAUGAAGGUCCUCGGAUCGUAAACCUCUGUCAGGAGGGAAGAACCGCCACGGUGCUAAUCAGCCGUGGUCUGACGGUACCUCCAAAGGAAGCACCGGCUAACUCCGUGCCAGCCGCCGC
This 520-nucleotide ribosomal RNA is filed under the name uncultured bacterium. RNAcentral describes it as "bacterial SSU rRNA". It matches the Rfam family "Bacterial small subunit ribosomal RNA", at positions 15 to 518 of the family's 1533-position model. The record is from RNAcentral.